CGUAGGGUGCAAGCGUUGUCCGGAAUUAUUGGGCGUAAAGAGCUCGUAGGCGGUCUGUUGCGUCGGCUGUGAAAACCCGGGGCUCAACCCCGGGCCUGCAGCCGAUACGGGCAGACUAGAGUUCGGCAGGGGAGACUGGAAUUCCUGGUGUAGCGGUGAAAUGCGCAGAUAUCAGGAGGAACACCGGUGGCGAAGGCGGGUCUCUGGGCCGAAACUGACGCUGAGGAGCGAAAGCGUGGGGAGCGAACAGGAUUAGAUACCCUGGUAGUCCACGCCGUAAACGUUGGGCGCUAGGUGUGGGUUCCCUUCCACGGGAUCCGUGCCGCAGCUAACGCAUUAAGCGCCCCGCCUGGGGAGUACGGCCGCAAGGCUA
This 373-nucleotide ribosomal RNA is filed under the name uncultured organism. RNAcentral describes it as "bacterial SSU rRNA". It matches the Rfam family "Bacterial small subunit ribosomal RNA", at positions 526 to 896 of the family's 1533-position model. The record is from RNAcentral.